UUCCGUCUCAAACUCUUUUGGCCUCCUCUCCUCUUCCCCCGCUCCCCCCGCCUCGGGUCGGGACCCUCCUCUCCUCCGCCCUCCGACCCUCGCCGGACUCCGGCAGCGGCGCGGCGCGCCCGCAAUUCGCGGGCCCCAAGACAUCUAUAGUCUCCCGCUUCCGCCAACUGCAGCCUCGCCACCGGUGGAUGGCCGCUUGACGAGUCCAGGGGGCCGGAGGAAUCGCAGCUGGGACGCGAGACGACUCGUCUGAGAUGCUGAGCUCAUCGGCGUCGAGGCGGGACGCCGCGAGGAGCAUCGAGCUCCCGCGGCCUCCGGCGGCGGCCGGGAUGUCCCGGAGCGGGGAGCUGCCCAGGGGCGCCUCCGCGGGGCCGGGGCCGGCGCCGGCCGCGGUGCGCCACGAGGGCUGGCUCGUGCGCCACGGGCGGAGGAAGAUCGGGAGGUCCUUCUUCCACAUGCGCUACUUCGUCCUCGACAACAAGCUGUUCGCCUACUACAAGAAGAAGCCCAGGGACAGCAUGAUUCCACUCAAGUCAAUUCUUAUUGAUGGAAAUUGCAGAGUCGAGGAUAGAGGGCUCAAAACACAUCAUGGUCAAAUGAUUUAUUUCCUAUGCAUUUACAACAAGAAACAAAAGGAGAACCAAAUCACGAUGGGUGCACAUAAUAUUGAAGAUGCCCUGGCCUGGAAGAGGAAACUAGAGCUUCUGAUUGAUCAGCAACAGGAUAGUAUGUCAGCUAAAAACCGUAGAGCUUUUGCUUCAUUGGACUUUGACAUAGAUCUUGGAGGACCACUUUCGUUCUCUGAUCAUGACAGUGGUCCUGAAGAUGAAGAAGAGCCCCGGCCCACCUUGCUCCGCCGGACAACUAUAGGGAAUGGCCCUCCUGAUUCUGUACUUGACUGGACCAAGGAGCCUGAUAUUGGGCUGUCUAAUCAGAAUUACACCAAUCAGGCUUACUCCAGAAAAAACUGGAGGCUUCUUAGAUGCCAGAAUGGAUUGUGCAUCUUUGAAGAACUUGUGGAGGUUGAAUACCUUACAAGAAGCUGUAGUCGAGCAAUGAGGGCUGUCGGAGUGGUGGAAGCCUCAUGCGAGGCCAUUUUUGGGCUUGUAAUGGGUAUGGAUGUAACACGAUAUGAAUGGGAUUGUAGCUUCCAAUAUGGAAGUUUAGUUGAAGAGGUUGAUGGCCAUACUGCAAUACUGUACCAUCGUCUACAACUGAACUGGUGUUCAAUGUUAGUCUGGCCUCGAGAUCUUUGUUAUGUACGAUACUGGCGGCGCAACGAUGAUGGAAGCUAUGUCGUGCUGUUUCGAUCUACUGAAAAUCAGAACUGUAGCCCCCAACCAGGAUUUGUUAGAGCUUUUAUCGAAAGUGGAGGUUUCAAGAUUUCUCCUCUCAAAAGCCUCAAUGGUAGACCGCGCACUCAAGUUCAACACCUUAUGCAAAUUGAUCUUAGGGGAUGGGGCGUGAACUAUUUUCCAUCAUUCCAGUACCACUCUUUGUUGCAGAUGCUGAACUGUGUUGCUGGAUUGCGUGAAUAUUUUUCUCAAACAGAUGAAGUUCAUACGGUUCCAAGGAUCCCAGAGAUUCAUGCCAUGGUUAAUUCAGUCUCAAUGAAAGACCAGAAGCUUCAAGAAUCUGAAACAAAGAUCAAACAAACCGAUAAUAAAAUUUUGGAUAUGGUGGAUGAAGAGUCAGAAGAUGAUGAUGACUAUCAAGUUCCUCAAGCUGAUUUGGAGGAAGAACCUACCAAAUCUGACAGUGAUGCUAACAGUUCAGAUCCAAUAGAUUUGUCUUGGUUUUCGGGCAUUAUUCGUCAGGAUGCAAAUGAGAAAAGUCGUAACUGUUGGGCAGUACCUGAUAGCAAGAUCUUUAAAGUUCGUAGCAAGAACUUUCCACAUGACAAAUCAAAGGUACCAGCAGGGAAGUACCUUAUGGAGCUCGUAGCUAUUGACUGGUUUAAGGACACCAGACGUAUGGAUCAUGUUGCUAGGCGGAAAGGAUGUGCAGCUCAGGUUGCUGCUGAGAAGGGAAUGUUCACUUUUCUCGUAAACAUACAAAUUCCUGGAUCAAGUCAUUACAGCUUAGUCCUUUAUUUUGUCUCGAGCUCCUUGAAGAAAGGAUCACUGUUGCAGCGCUUUGCUGAUGGCGAUGAUGAUUUCCGGAACAGCAGAUUGAAGCUUAUCCCAUCUGUUCCGAAGGGGUCUUGGAUUGUGCGGCAAAGCGUUGGAAGCACACCUUGCUUACUGGGGAAGGCUGUCGACUGCAGCUAUUUGCGUGGUCCUGAGUACUUAGAAGUGGAUGUAGAUAUCGGUUCAUCGGCGGUAGCCAAUGGGGUCCUGGGCUUGGUGUUUGGUGUUGUUACCACCUUGGUAGUUGACAUGGCGUUUCUUAUCCAGGCAAACACAUACGACGAGCUCCCGGAGCAACUUCUAGGCGCCGCGCGGCUGUCAAACAUCGAACCCUCCGCGGCAGUCAAUCCUGAGCUUGACAGCAUUUCCUGAGCGGGAUGAAUAAAAAACUGUGCAGAUUCUUUCAUUCUUUCCCCCAAACCCUCUCCAUUUGUUGAGCCACCGCAGCAUUUCGCAGUUUGGUUCAAUGAGGUGCAGACAGACUCAGCAGCAGUGCGUCGCCUUCAUACAGUUUUGUCAUCUGGUGUAGUUUGUUUACAGUUAAUUGCUAUGCAGUAGAUAUAACAAAGACUAUAUACAGCAUGGUUUGGAAACCAAUUCAUGUACAUGUCAGGCUGUGUCAUUAUAUAUUUGUGGAGCAAUAUAUAUACACCUGGUCUUGGUAGAUGAUUUUUUUUGGGUGUACGUUACAUUUGGCUGCUACAUUCAGCAUACUUGAAUUCAUUGUAUGUUUGGUCA
Molecule: RNA transcript, 2867 nt
Organism: Panicum virgatum (switchgrass)
Lineage: Eukaryota; Viridiplantae; Streptophyta; Magnoliopsida; Poales; Poaceae
Gene name: protein ENHANCED DISEASE RESISTANCE 2-like
Exons: 23
Source: RefSeq, a predicted model, not a curated record